AUUGAACGCUGGCGGCAGGCCUAACACAUGCGAGUCGAGCGGAUGAAGGGAGCUUGCUCCUGGAUUCAGCGGCGGACGGGUGAGUAAUGCCUAGGAAUCUGCCUGGUAGUGGGGGAUAACGUCCGGAAACGGGCGCUAAUACCGCAUACGUCCUGAGGGAGAAAGUGGGGGAUCUUCGGACCUCACGCUAUCAGAUGAGCCUAGGUCGGAUUAGCUAGUUGGUGGGGUAAAGGCCUACCAAGGCGACGAUCCGUAACUGGUCUGAGAGGAUGAUCAGUCACACUGGAACUGAGACACGGUCCAGACUCCUACGGGAGGCAGCAGUGGGGAAUAUUGGACAAUGGGCGAAAGCCUGAUCCAGCCAUGCCGCGUGUUUGAAGAAGGUCUUCGGAUUGUAAAGCACUUUAAGUUGGGAGGAAGGGCAGUAAGUUAAUACCUUGCUGUUUUGACGUUACCAACAGAAUAAGCACCGGCUAACUUCGUG
This 484-nucleotide ribosomal RNA is filed under the name uncultured bacterium. RNAcentral describes it as "partial 16S ribosomal RNA". It matches the Rfam family "Bacterial small subunit ribosomal RNA", at positions 30 to 507 of the family's 1533-position model. The record is from RNAcentral.